Molecule: ribosomal RNA, 440 nt
Filed under: uncultured bacterium
Lineage: Bacteria
Description: partial 16S ribosomal RNA
Rfam family: Bacterial small subunit ribosomal RNA
Source: RNAcentral
CCUACGGGUGGCAGCAGUAGGGAAUCUUUCACAAUGGGCGAAAGCCUGAUGGAGCAACGCCGCGUGCAGGAUGAAGGCCUUCGGGUUGUAAACUGCUUUUAUAAGCGAGAAAUAUGAUGGUAACUUAUGUAUAAGGAUCGGCUAACUACGUGCCAGCAGCCGCGGUCAUACGUAGGAUCCGAGCAUUAUCCGGAGUGACUGGGUGUAAAGGGAGCGUAGACGGUGCAGCAAGUCUGAUGUGAAAGGUCGGGGCCCAACCCCGGGACUGCAUUGGAAACUGUUGAACUGGAGUACAGGAGAGGUAAGCGGAAUUCCUAGUGUAGCGGUGAAAUGCGUAGAUAUUAGGAGGAACACCAGUGGCGAAGGCGGCUUACUGGACUGUAACUGACGUUGAGGCUCGAAAGCGUGGGGAGCAAACAGGAUUAGAUACCCCAGUAGUC